RNAcentral lists this ribosomal RNA (387 nucleotides) under uncultured organism. RNAcentral describes it as "bacterial SSU rRNA". It matches the Rfam family "Bacterial small subunit ribosomal RNA", at positions 367 to 770 of the family's 1533-position model. The record is from RNAcentral.
CGCAUGGGCGAAAGCCUGAUGGAGCGACGCCGCGUGACAGAUGAAGUCUUUCGGGAUGUAAAGGUCUUUUAUGAGGGAUGACAUAGCGACAGUACCUCAUGAAUAAGGGGCUGCUAAUCACGUGCCAGCAGCAGCGGUAAUACGUGAGCCCCAAGCGUUAUCCGGAAUUACUGGGCGUAAAGAGUGCGUAGGUGGUCGUAUUAGUCUUCUGUUUAAUCCCUCGGCUCAACCGAGGAACCGCAGAGGAAACGGUACGACUGGAGUGUGUAAGAGGUUUGCGGAACUCAUGGUGUAGGGGUGAAAUCCGUUGAUAUCAUGGGGAACACCAAAUGCGAAGGCAGCAAACUGGUACAUUACUGACACUGAGGCACGAAAGCGUAGGUAGCG